UGAGAAAUUUUGACUAUCCAAUGUAAAUCUUAAGAAAAAUUGUCUCUAACACUGAAAUGGAUUCCCAGAUGUUCUUUCUGAGAAGUUACGAGAAAGCACUAUGGAGGUCAGGAAUUACAGUUAGCUUUGCAACAAUCUCAUAAUUCAGGAUUUAAGUAUUAAGUACUUUUUAAAAUGUUAAAAUUAUUUAAUGGCGUUUUUUUUUCUGCUUCAUCAUUCAUCUGAUUGACCCUACCGUUGAUUGUUUAGGAUACCUUUAAAAUCAAAGCCAACCUUGCUUAGACCGAUGAAUUCAUAUUAGCUUGUAUCUAUGAAAUCCAACCAGGACAGCUAUUUGUACCCUCUGUUUCUACCUCAUCAAGAAAUAGUUUUCACUUACAUCUUUCCCACUGAAAUCAGGGCGUGACCCAUUCUCCCAGCACUGCAUUUGUAUUUUCUUGCUGAUCUCCCCCAGACUCUGAACUCUUACCUGCCUGCUUGAACCCAGCGUACCCAGCCUCAGAAUCCCACUUCCAUAAGCCCAUGGCUUUCAGAUGUUUUGCUCUGCACUGGGAAAUCAUCUGGCUUCUGCACUUUACUUUUGUUUGGGGAACCCAAGGAUAUUCCCAAAUGAACUGAAGCUCUUGCCUCAAUAUCCUGCUUGCUGUAGGUAGCCUUUUGGGUCGAUUUCACAUGGUGGUCUCUGUUGCUCUUCAUAGUUAAUUCCUCCCAAAUUGGGCAUAGCCUGCCUGUCAAAAUAUUUGGGUGUUUUAUAGUUACUUGAUAUGUCUGCUAUAAAAUUUAUUUGUAUGAAGUUUUCUAUAAUUAUUCACUGUUAGAUAAUCAUUACCCUCAUUUUUAGACAAUGAAUAAACCUAAGAUAUUGUAUUAGAAUAGGAUUUUGACAUCAAGAUUCUAAAAUACAACACAUGGCACGAUGCCAACACUUAGCUUUAGGUAGAUAAUUGCUCAAUAGAACUUACCUAGAGACUUGGCAAAAGGAAGCAUGAGAAUGAUGAAAUUGUCUUAUAACGUCAUCUUUAAACCAGACCUGCUUAAUUAUUAGCCCUGGAGAGGGCUAAGAGGUUGGAAAUUCCUUUUUCAGACAAGUUUACCUUUCUUGUUUCAUUUACUGUCUUACUAUGUUAUAUGAAAUCAUGCUGUUUAAAUUUUCAUAAUUUUAUUCAUGUGUAUAAUGUAUAAUUUUACAAUUUGUGGUGUCUGAUAUGUUAUUUUCCAGUAACAUUUCCUUACAGAUAUAAGGACAACAUUAAAAUUAAACUAAGACAUCUGAUACCUAGCAGAUAUUUAAUAAAUAUUUAAGUUACUAUUGAAUGAAUUAAUAACCGAUUUACUUAACAUGGUGGUUUUAAAAGGUCAGAAUUUUUAGAAUUCCUUUAUCAGCAAAACAUAGUUUUGGAGACUUCUCUGUUUUCAAAGUGUUUACUUUUAAUAUUCAAUAUUUUUAUAUUUCUCAUAGUUGAAAAGAUGAAAGUCCAUAGAAACAGUAAAAUGAAUUUUUUUAGAUUAAAUCUUUUUAGACUAUGCUUUUGGUUUUGGUAUUUGCUCCUACAGAAAAGAAAUUGCUCUAACAAAAGCAGGUCUAAAGAGAGGAUUUAUUCAAGAAUCAAGAAUAACGUGGAAAAUCAAGUAAAAUAAAUUAGAAGUGAAAAUGUCCACUAGAUUAAUUAGAUGAAUCUAGACAUGAGAAUCUAAGUUAUUUUCUAUCAUUUUGUCCUCAUUUUUAAAAGGCUCAGACAAUGAAAUUUCCAUCACUUCAUUCUCAUUCAGUAAUGUGUGUACAGCUAUUCAUCCAAAUGUCACUUUGUUCAGAUGCCCUUCCCCCCUGAUACCAGUCUCUUCAAUGUCAUCUAUAUGCAUUUUUAUUAAGAUAACAAGUGAGCAUGUAAGAGAAGCUAAAGCUUUACCAUUGGUUUAGAAGAUCAUGAAAUGAAGCAGAACAAAAAGUUAUAAUGCAGUAAAAUAAAAUUCAUAUUUGUGAAUAUUGUGCUAAAGAAGUGUUUAAGUAGCUUAGUUAUUUUUGCCAGAAGAAUGACAAUGUAAACAGAAGCUUAAACUGUUCCUAUCCCAGAGAGGUUAAGUGUGGUCACAUUCAAAUACUUAAAAACUGGCUCUGCCACUGGUUGGUUGUGUGACCUUAACCAAGUUGCUGUCUCUCUCCAAGCCUCAGUUUUAAAUUGUAAGAUGUCUUGUCCCAAAUUUUUAUAAUCCUAGAACAGAGUUGGCCUCCAAUAUAUCCAUUUUGCAAAUAAUUCUGUACACUGACAUUACUCAUAAAAGCAAAGGGAAAAGUUAAAUACUCUUGUAGAUUUAUAUGGAAAUCUCAAUGUCACCUUAAAAUUCUGGAAAAAUAUGUUUAACUUUGCCAAUAUAGAAAAAGUUUUAGGUUUGUUUCUCCCACCCUUUAUCUGACCAACAGCUUGACUGUAUGAGACAUGAUAAAAAAACAACAAAAGUUACUCCACUGGGACUCACUGUGGAAGAGAGGCACUCACUGUAAAUGAAAAAUAAUAAAUUUGAAAAGUUUAUCAGGUAAAGCAUUUAAUUGAAUUAAUGAGACAAUAUGGAGUACUAGAUUUAGUUAACUGAUGUUUACAGUAAUUUAAAACUUAGAAUAUUUUCUAAAACAAAUAUUUAAAAGUUUGCUGAAUAUUUAAUGAGUAAGGAUAUUAUUAAGUCAUAUAAAAGUAUUAUGUAAUAAAGUAUUAUGUAGUAAUAUAGAAGUUUUAAGAAUUGUGUUCAAUGUGUUUUAAGCCAUAUAACUCGAGUGUUUGAUUACAAUUUCUCUUAAGAUUGACUUCUUUCUUCUGGAAGUAGAGUUCAAGAGACUAAUUUACGUUUACUAAGGAUUCAAUUUGAAGAAUUCCAGUUUCCUUUAAGCAAGAUUUCAGUUUACUUCAAACUCAACGGAAAUAUAUUGUAUUCAUGAUUUGACAACACACUUGGAAGACCUACAUUCCUAAGGAUUCGAAUUAUAAGCCUUUCAGUUAGAAUCUGUUGGUUGUUAUCAAGGCCAUGCAUUUGUAAUCUCUCCUGCCAGAAAUUGCAUCAGAAGGAAUUGGAUUAUCAAGAGUGGCUACUGGUUUUGAUCUUGGUUAUAUACAUGAUGUAUAGAAUAGGACAAUUUUACUCAUGCAAAUCUAUUUUUGAAUAGUGUGAAAAUCUGAGGUGAUAAUUUGAGGUUUUAAAUUCUGUAUUUCAGAGUGAAUAUAUAAUUUUAUUUCAUCAAAAAAAGUUAUUAAAAAACUACUUCAAAAUGCCUUAAAAUUUUUGUUUGCAUUUUUAACUGAGAUAAUCUUUUAUUAUUAAGGGCCUAUUCUGUGCCCAGUAUUUCACUAUAGUCUUAAAAAAUAAAUGAUCUCUGUCAGCAAAGAACUUUUAGCCUAGAUGGGAACAUUAUACUAACAUACAAGAAACAACUAGAGGCUAGUGGAAUGUAAAGUCUGCCUUGCUGACUUUAAGUGCAGUAGAAGCUCAAAGAAAAUGUGGACUGAGACUCAUCAGAGAAGACUUCGUAGAGCAGAUGGAAGAUGACUGGGCUUAAAGAAUGAAAAUUCUUUAAGUGAAAUGAAGGAAUUGGAGACUUUCAAGUGCCAAAAGCAUGAAUCGAGGCAUGAUCAGAUAGGAAGGACUAAAGCAGAUACACUAGAUUGAAAGCAGAGAUUUGUAUUGGGGAAUAGGUAGGUAAAUGAGUGGAACCAUGUUUGAAAUUGUUUUCCUUCCUUUACAUAAGGUGCCCUAAUUUCUAAUAGAAGAAAACAAGAAUAUUCGAAUUGCCUGGACCUUUCAGAAGCCAAUGUGUGAAAAUUUGAAGAAAAAAGCAUGAUCUGAGAUGGAAGAUCGUAGUAGAAUGAAAAGUCCUACAUGAAAAAAUACUUUCCAAGAAACACCAUUACCAUAAUCAAAAAAACAAAUGUAUUCAGUAUCUGCUGCAGUUCUUUAAAGUGACUGAAGAAAAUGGCAUGUAUUUUCACAACACCCAAUAUCCCUCUGCAAAAAAAAAAAAAAAGAGCUGGCUAUACCUGUACCAUGGGUACCUAGACCAUGUGGAACAAGGACUGAGACUGGAAGCUGCAAACAGACAUUGUCUGGACAGAGCAGAGUGCCUGAAAACAGCCACCUAGCGAAGGGCAGUAAAUGUGACGUGAGAUGAUCCCCUCGGCACAGAACUGCGAGACCGAGGAGCUGGCAGUGGAGCCAGCACGCUGGGACAGACCGCGACCUGGGCCCGUUGGACGCCCACCCGCACGCCGCCGAUCCCCACACCCGUCCCGGUGCCCCGCCGGUUCCCGUGUGCAGCUGGAACUGGGGCUCAGACCGAGCUCUCCGCCAGCCCCCACCCACGCAGAGGGGCCGCGCGGCGCCGGGAAGCGGACGUCGACGCUGGAGACGAGUGGGCUUGGCCUAGAUAGCUGGAGCGCGGGCGCCAGGAGG
Molecule: long non-coding RNA, 4434 nt
Organism: Hipposideros armiger (great roundleaf bat)
Lineage: Eukaryota; Metazoa; Chordata; Mammalia; Chiroptera; Hipposideridae
Exons: 5
Source: RefSeq, a predicted model, not a curated record